UAGGGAAUCUUCCGCAAUGGGCGAAAGCUUGACGGAGCAAUGCCGCGUGAGUGAUGAAGGUCUUCGGAUCGUAAAACUCUGUUAUUAGGGAAGAACAAAUGUGUAAGUAACUAUGCACGUCUUGACGGUACCUAAUCAGAAAGCCACGGCUAACUACGUGCCAGCAGCCGCGGUAAUACGUAGGUGGCAAGCGUUAUCCGGAAUUAUUGGGCGUAAAGCGCGCGUAGGCGGUUUUUUAAGUCUGAUGUGAAAGCCCACGGCUCAACCGUGGAGGUUCAUUGGAAACUGGAAAACUUGAGUGCAGAAGAGGAAAGUGGAAUUCCAUGUGUAGCGGUGAAAUGCGCAGAGAUAUGGAGGAACACCAGUGGCGAAGGCGACUUUCUGGUCUGUAACUGACGCUGAUGUGCGAAAGCGUGGGGAUCAAACAGG
Molecule: ribosomal RNA, 429 nt
Filed under: Actinomycetes bacterium
Lineage: Bacteria; Bacillati; Actinomycetota; Actinomycetes
Description: Actinobacteria bacterium partial 16S ribosomal RNA
Rfam family: Bacterial small subunit ribosomal RNA
Source: RNAcentral